RNAcentral lists this long non-coding RNA (774 nucleotides) under Malus domestica (apple). RNAcentral's name for it is "long non-coding RNA (MDOM_LNC017572)". The record is from RNAcentral. Lineage: Eukaryota; Viridiplantae; Streptophyta; Magnoliopsida; Rosales; Rosaceae.
CAUACCAAUUUCGAACUCCACAAAUUGAAACACACAACACUCAAGAUUGAAGUCAAGGGUUGUAAUAGGGCUUGGGGGUAAUGGCUAAUAAAGAAAGGAUAGGAAUAACAAACGUUCUUAAAGCGAUAGCAAGCAAAGCAAUGAAAUAGACACUUGGAAUUCACUUUAGAAUGCAGAAUCAACUUUUAAAUACAAAGGGAAGAUUCAUGCAACACUUAGGGCCGAAUUCAAUGUUUUGGACCAUUUUUUAACAAACUUUUUUUUUUCCUUUCUUUUCUACCCGUGCCUUAUUAAGGACUUUGGCACACACACACACACACAAGAAUCACUUCCCCCACACUUGCUUUCUGCAAUGCAUUGAUUAAAAAAUAAAAAAAAAAAAAGAGUUCAUUUUAAGUCAUGCUUUACUAUGCUUCAAGAACAAGGGUAUGGAUGGUCCUAAAACUAGGCUAGGUAAGGAUAUAAUGGAUUAACAAAGAACAUAGGCUUAACAAGGCUCAACGGGGUUAAACUUAAAUACAUAAUGAAAUAGGGGCACGACAAUUUGGCUUUGGUGGUCACUACACAACUUCAUCUUGAAUAUGUGUUAUGCAAAUCAAUAGCAUGCUUUGAAUGAAAUAGGCAUGAGUUCUAGCAUUUGGAACUAACUGAUGAAACGCCUUCUAAGUAGCAACCAAGCAAAGAGUAAUGAGAUCAUGCAACGACUUUAGGAAACAAUGAUGCACAUAUUAUUAACUCUCCAAAUAAACGUUUAGGCUCAAGUCUCACAAGGUU